CCGCCCCUACGGGACGCAGCAGUGAGGAAUAUUGGUCAAUGGUCGGGAGACUGAACCAGCCAAGCCGCGUGAGGGAGGAAGGUACAGAGUAUCGUAAACCUCUUUUGUCAGGGAACAAAGACUGGGACGCGUCCCCGGAUGAGUGUACCUGAAGAAAAAGCAUCGGCUAACUCCGUGCCAGCAGCCGCGGUAAUACGGAGGAUGCGAUCGUUAUCCGUCUUUAUUUGGUUUAAAGGGUGCGCAUGCGGUCUGUUAAGUCAGCGGACAAAGCCCGGGGCUCCACCCCGGCCCGCCGUU
This 297-nucleotide ribosomal RNA is filed under the name uncultured bacterium. RNAcentral's name for it is "partial 16S ribosomal RNA". It matches the Rfam family "Bacterial small subunit ribosomal RNA", at positions 331 to 628 of the family's 1533-position model. The record is from RNAcentral.